UGUAAGCGUAUACCAAAGUUGUUGCAGUUAAAACGCUCGUAGUCGGAAUUUGGCAGUUCCGGAUGUGUGCACGUCGUGUGCGCACUUCGCGGGGAUUGCUUUUGUGGUCUUGCGUAGGAUGAGGCACUUUUAUUAGUGAACGUCCUCACGCAACCACUUUUUACUGUGAGAAAAUCAGAGUGCUCAAAGCAGGCAUUUGCCGUGAAUGUAUUAGCAUGGAAUAAUAGAAUAGGACUUGGUUCUAUUUUGUUGGUUUGUUGGGACUGAGUAAUGAUUAAGAGGGACAGUUGGGGGCGUUUGUAUUUCGGCGCUAGAGGUGAAAUUCUUAGAUUGCCGAAAGACAAACUGCUGCGAAAGCGUCUGCCAAGGAUGUUUUCAUUGA
RNAcentral lists this ribosomal RNA (382 nucleotides) under uncultured eukaryote. RNAcentral's name for it is "partial 18S ribosomal RNA". It matches the Rfam family "Eukaryotic small subunit ribosomal RNA", at positions 592 to 976 of the family's 1831-position model. The record is from RNAcentral.